CCUACGGGAGGCAGCAGUGGGGAAUAUUGGACAAUGGGGGGAACCCUGAUCCAGCCAUGCCGCGUGUGUGAAGAAGGCCCUCGGGUUGUAAAGCACUUUCAGUGAGGAAGAACGCCUGGUGGUUAAUACCCAUCAGGAAAGACAUCACUCACAGAAGAAGCACCGGCUAACUCCGUGCCAGCAGCCGCGGUAAUACGGAGGGUGCGAGCGUUAAUCGGAAUUACUGGGCGUAAAGCGCGCGUAGGUGGCUUGAUAAGCCGGUUGUGAAAGCCCCGGGCUCAACCUGGGAACGGCAUCCGGAACUGUCAAGCUAGAGUGCAGGAGAGGGAGGUAGAAUUCCCGGUGUAGCGGUGAAAUGCGUAGAGAUCGGGAGGAAUACCAGUGGCGAAGGCGGCCUUCUGGACUGACACUGACACUGAGGUGCGAAAGCGUGGGUAGCAAACAGGAUUAGAUACCCUAGUAGUC
RNAcentral lists this ribosomal RNA (465 nucleotides) under Vreelandella stevensii. RNAcentral's name for it is "partial 16S ribosomal RNA". It matches the Rfam family "Bacterial small subunit ribosomal RNA", at positions 338 to 795 of the family's 1533-position model. The record is from RNAcentral. Lineage: Bacteria; Pseudomonadati; Pseudomonadota; Gammaproteobacteria; Oceanospirillales; Halomonadaceae.